RNAcentral lists this ribosomal RNA (468 nucleotides) under uncultured bacterium. RNAcentral's name for it is "partial 16S ribosomal RNA". It matches the Rfam family "Bacterial small subunit ribosomal RNA", at positions 28 to 507 of the family's 1533-position model. The record is from RNAcentral.
GACGAACGCUGGCGGCGUGCUUAACACAUGCAAGUCGAACGGAAAGGCCCUGCUUUUUUGCGCUGCUCGGGGGGCGGACGGGGGAGUAACACGUGAGUAACGUGCCCUUGACUUUGGGGGGACUUCAUGAAGGUUAGGCUAAUACCGUCUAGGAUCUCCUGCUUCUGGGUGGGCGGGGGAUAGUUUAGGUGGUUGGGGAUGGACUGGCGGCUUAUGGGCUUGUUAGUGGGGUAGUGGAUGACCAAGACUUGGACGGGUAGCCGGCCUGAGAGGGUGACCGGCCACAUUGCGACUGAGAUAAGGCACAGACUCGUAUGGGAGGCAAGGGUGGGGAAUAUUAUACAAUGGGAGGGAGUCUGAUGUGGCAACGCAGCGUGCGGGAAGACGGGCUUCGGGUUGUGAACAGCAUCCGUCUGUGACGAAGCGUGAGUGACGGUAACGGGUAAAGAAGCACCGGCUAACUCCGUG